AACGCACAUUGCGCUCCCUGGUAUUCCUAGGAGCAUGCCUGUCUGAGCGUCAGUACACACCCUCCUUUCGGAUUUUGUGCCGAUCGGGUCCUGAGGUGGGCGGCCCUAAACCCGUCGCCCCCCUCUAAAGUGGAAAGCCAGCGGCCCGCCUGCCCAUGAAAGACGUAGUAAACUCUGCCUCGUCCUCGAAAGGGUCACGGUUACGGGCUCGCCUCAAGCACUAUUCUCUUAGGCUUGACCUCAGAUCAGACAAGAAUACCCGCUGAACUUAA
This 272-nucleotide unclassified non-coding RNA is filed under the name uncultured fungus. RNAcentral's name for it is "partial contains 5.8S ribosomal RNA, internal transcribed spacer 2, and large subunit ribosomal RNA". Lineage: Eukaryota; Fungi. The record is from RNAcentral.